Molecule: long non-coding RNA, 4733 nt
Organism: Felis catus (domestic cat)
Lineage: Eukaryota; Metazoa; Chordata; Mammalia; Carnivora; Felidae
Exons: 4
Source: RefSeq, a predicted model, not a curated record
GGUUCCAUAAGUCUUCUCUUCUCCUCUUUCUUAACCGGCAGGCUAGCCAGAGCCUUGGUCAGGCCUGGGUGGGGGCUGGGUCCUUCUAGGGCCAUGCAGCGGGGAGAGGUGAAACAGAAGCCACCAGUGAGGGGGAGAAGCAGGCUGUGGCCAGCCCAGCACCCACCACUCACAUAGACGUAGUGUCUUGUCUCAUCACCCCCUGCACGAUUAGACCCAUGGGAUCCUGAGAGCCUAGCCAGUGACUCAGCAGGAAUCACCCCAGACAGGAGCCAGUGCCCCAGUGCCCAGACCAGAAACCACCCCUGACCUGUCCGGCUGGACAGGAACAGAGACCAUGUGGGUGGAAAAGCCCUCAGACUAGGGUAGCUGGAGGGAGGUGGUAUGGGAAGACCACCCCCCCCCCCAAAGAAAAUCCAAAUGUAGCUCUCAGCCACUUGCCCCCGAUGGUGCCCCUGGGGUUCUGGAUCAUAGUUUUAGGAGGGGGUUCUUGGCUGUUCCACCAGGUUUUGAGGCCUUGAGGCUCAUCCUGGCUUUGCUGGGUCGUGUUGGGUUGCCAUGGUGUAUCAUGUCCAGUCCACUGCGUUGUUCCUGUUCUGUCAUGUGUUCUGGUCUGUUCUAGAGCCUUCCAUUCCUUUCUCUUCUAUUGUGUCUCUUUAUGUAUUCAUUCAACAGAUAUUUAUUGAGAACCUGUUCUGUGCCUGGCAGUGUUCUAGGCGCUAGAGUUACAACUUGGCAGAAAGCAGUUUCCGUGCCCCAGGGGAUUCACAGGGAGACUGGCAACAAAGAAAAGAACACCACCAGGUAGCGGUGAGAGUGGUGGAGAAGAAAAGUGCCCAGAGACCUAGAAUAGAGCUCCAAGGGGAGGGGUGGGCUACUUUCAGCGGUGGGUGGAGUGGGGUCAGGAGUGGCCUCACUGCGAAAGUGACGUUUGAGCAGAGACAGAAAGCAGGAGUUAUUCCCUCUGGGGAAGGAAAUAACACCGACCUAAUGCUAGCCAUAAGCGGUGAGAGCCCGUCCCUUUCCCGAGCCUUUACAGAACUAGCUCAUUCCUCCUUGACCCAGCCGUUAUGGUCCCCAUUGCACAGAUGGGGAAAUGGGGCCGUGCAGUUAUCUGAGGGUCAGGAAUAGCAUUCCGGGCAGAGGGAACAGCAAGUGCAAAGGCCCUGAGGCAGGAAUGUGCCUGAUGUGUUCAAAGAACAGCCAGGAGGCCAGUGUGGCUAGAGCAGAUCCCAAGGGGGACAAGGGGCUGGUCUUUAGUGUAUUUUGAGCAACUUAAGGAUUUCUGAGAAUGUUGUGGCCUUUACACCACAUAGAGCAGCAAACCCCACCACCUGAAAUGAAUCUGCAAGCAUUUGGGUCCAGGCCCUCCCUGGGUAGGGCUUGAUCUUGCCAAACGGCCUUCUCACUGCCUUCUGGAGCUGGGCCGGCUGUAAUAGGGCCUGGGACUGGCCCAUUCAUUCCUUCAUGCUUUCAUUCAUGUGUUCAUUCGUUCCACCAACAUCUACGGAGCUGGAACAGUGAGGAACAAGACAGACACCAUCGCUGCCCACAGGGAGCUAGAAACCCAGCAGAGAAAGCCCAGGUGGAGGAUCCCAGAAAGCCUGGUGGAGAAGUCAUGUCCCAGACAGCAGGGUUGGCAGAGGUUUACAGAGCCGGCCAGGGUCCAGGCACCUCAACUGUUCCUAGGAGAGGCCCCAGAGGUGAGGAUUUCCAGGCCAAGCGGAGGCUUGUCUAGGCCAAAACCCAAAGCCCAAGGCCCUUGAUGAAUCACACGGUGCUUCCCAGGCCUUCCUUGGGGCCCCGGGGUACUGGGGCUCCAGGGCCGCAGGCCCAAUACGGCCACCCCCCACCCCGCUCUCCACCGCGUCCCAUCACGCUCUCAGACCCAGCCACACCACGUAAAGCUACGACACACUCUCCCUUCCACCAAACCCCCCUUGAUAGGACUGCCUUUCCCUGCUCUUUCCAAUUCUAACAUGCUUUAUAAAUACAGAUGCACCCUGUCUCCCCUCCACAGACGUCAGCUUCCUAAGGACAGGGCCGUUUUUGGUUUUUGUUUUCUGCUCUGUUCCAAGUUGUACCCUAAACCAGUAGGUGCUUAAUAAGCAUUUGUGGAAUGCGUGAAUGGAUCCUCACCCAGCUCCGAGAAGUAGGUGCUCUUGUUAUUACAAUAUAUGAAGCAGGAAAGUGAAAUUGAGCAAGGUGGUGAGUUGGUGAGUUGCCCAAGAACUCAGACAGCUGGAGAGGGGGGAAAUCAGGGCCAUAAUAACAGUAAUAACCUCAGCUAAGACAUAUCGAGUACCUACUAUGUGCCAGGCACCGUGGUGGGUGUUGGAAUGGAAACGGAAGAAAAAAGCCAGGCACAUAGUAAGUGCUUUAUAUGGAUACUCUUGGAAUCCUCAGGGGGACUCUCUGUAGAGGGGACUGUUGUACCCAUUUCACAGAUGAGGAAACCGAGGCUCAGAGGGAUUAAAUAACAGGUCUCUAAUAAUAUCAGCUAUAAGAACAAGCCUGGCUUACUGAGCUGUGUUCUAGAUACUGGCUUUACAUCCAGGAUCUCUCACCGUUACCUUCUUCUAUUGUAUUUUACAGCAAAGAAACCAAGCUUCCGAGAAGCAGCUUAGUGUCUGUAGUGAGAUGGAAUGAGGCAGCUUGAACUCAUUUCCCAAGUUCUUCUGUCCCAGGACAUGCCUGGCACUGGGAGGUGGACAGGCCCACCUACAGGAGCCCAUUGCACGUUUGGUGCCUCAAAGCCAGAUGACCCUCCCUGGAACGUUGGUUUCCCCAAGUCUCUGAAGGGUCUGGGGCUCAUGCUGUCCCUCCUCUCCACCCCCUCAUCCCCCAGCAUGGAACUGGCAGGUGGCUUCCUUCCCAUUCACACUUGGGACUGUCACUGUCUCCGGGCGGGGGGUGGGGCGGGGGAAGGAGGCUGGAGAGAGGUAGUGGCAACUCGGCUGUGUGACGUCAGGCAUGCUGCUGUGCCUCUCUGAGCUGCCAGCCUCUCCUGACUCCAUGGAAUCACGGCUUGCUGUGAAGGCCCUGGGCUGGGAUCUGGAGCCAGGGUCUGGGACUACUCACAGAAGGCCUGGCACCUGAAAGCACCCUCUUUCUGCCUGGAAGGACCAGGGGGAGGCACAGAGCCACCUGCACCCCUGCCCCAGACCUAUUUCUUCUCCCCACUCUGUCCCCUGGGAGUGGUCUGCAAGCCCCCAAGAGAUGGGGCCCAGUCCUGCCCCCUUGUCCCACCUGGCCUAUCCUGGCCUGCCUUUUAUCACCAGGAAAGAAGAGUGAGUAACGAGGAGGCCACCUUCUCCAGGCCCCCAGAGGCCCUUAUCGGUACCUCUCUUGAAUCCACUCCACACUCCCCCUUCUACUGCUGCUGCCUGCCUCCCGAUCCCUUCUGUCAUUCAAUCCUUGCAACUCAGCCAGUGUCCCAGCUCUGCCUCUUUUACAGACUGGGAAAGUGAGGUGCAGAGAGGUGCCUGGACCAGUCCUGAGUCCAUGGAAGCCGGGACAUCUUUCCCAGAGGGCCCCAGGAAUCUUUCUGAAGGCCAGCCUUCCCCAUCAGACCCCUGCCUGGGUAAUAAGGGUUCUGUUGGGGGAGCAUGGCCCCCAGAAGACGGAGCUGGACUUCAGAGGAGGACAGCCACCUGCCUGAGGUCACACAGCCAGAUGACAGCAGAAUUCUGACUCAGAACCUGUGACUACAGAGGGGAAAACUGAGGCCCCAAGAGGGGAAGGGUCUUGUCCAAGGUCAUGCAGGCCCUGAUAGGGCCUAGAACCCCACCAAGGCUGGGCUAGUGCAGAAGCACCAGAAUCCCAGGCAGAGCCUUCCCACAGCCCUGGUGGGGGUGGGGGACUGCCUGGCAUUUCCUGUUUCUUUGGGCAGGACUUAGGGCAUGACCUGGGUGAGAAGAUGUGGGGAGACUUCCCGUGGCCCCUCUCUGCUCUCAGGCGAUAACUGGGACUGAGGGGCCAAGGAGGCGGUGGGGGGCAGAGGCUGGGAGUUCGAGUCCUGGCUUCCAGGCCUCCUCUCCCUCAUUGACCGUGUAUCUUUGUCCCCGCCCACCCCCACCCCCCCCACCCCAAAGUCUCUGCAGCCUUGGGUGGCCCCUUCUUACCAUCCAGUGCGUGGACUCAGACAAAGUCCCAGACCCUCAGGGAAGCACGAGGUCAUGACCUUGGAGAAUCACUUCCCCCUCUGAGCCUCAGUUUCCUCUUCUGUCAAGUGGAGUCAUCGUGAGAUGGGGAGAAAACUGACCUGAUGGCCGGACUUAGGAGCGAAUUAAGCAUGUAAACCACCAAUGGCAGAGCCUGGCACCCAAUAGGUGGACCCGGCUGUCGUGCAUCUCAACCCUCCCCGGUGCUGGCCCGCUGGCCGCAGCCUCUGCCCUUUCUCACGCUCUCGGGUACCCGGCCCCGGGGCCUUUGCUGCCGCACCCCAGCCUUGCUGGCUCACGAGCGCUGUUCUCCAACCUCACCAGCCGCUUCUGCUUCUCUGUUGCUCCAAGCUCACUCCUGCCUCAGGGCCUUUGCACCUACAGGUCUCUCUUCCCGGGUUCCCUUUCCCCAUGUUUUCCCUUCUUUAACAGAAAUGUUAUUUUUAGAUUCUAUCAUUAGAAUCUAAAACAAGACCUAGAAUAGUUUAGGCAUUUAAUAAAUAUUUGUCCCAUAAAUAAAUGAAUGAAUUUUGAUUUCUGAUCUAAUGUAAGAGUCCUUGUUUGUUUGUU